Molecule: ribosomal RNA, 460 nt
Filed under: uncultured bacterium
Lineage: Bacteria
Description: partial 16S ribosomal RNA
Rfam family: Bacterial small subunit ribosomal RNA
Source: RNAcentral
CCUACGGGUGGCAGCAGUGAGGAAUAUUGGUCAAUGGCCGGAAGGCUGAACCAGCCAUGCCGCGUGAAGGUCAGUGCCCUAUGGGCGUUAAACUUCUUUUGUGCGGGAGCAAUAAUGGUCACGUGUGGCCAGACGAGAGUACCGGACGAAUAAGCAUCAGCUAACUCCGUGCCAGCAGCCGCGGUAAUACGGGAGAUGCAAGAGUUAUCCGGAUUUAGUGGGUUUGAAGGGUGCGUAGGCUGGGAGGUAAGUCAGCGGUGAAAUGCCCCCGCUCAACGGGGUGAAGUGCCAUUGAUACUGCCAUGCUGGAAUGCGGAUGAGGUGGGAGGAAUGUGUGGUGUAGAGGUGAAAUGCAUAGAUAUCACACAGAACACCGAUUGCGAAGGCAUCUAACUAACCCGCGACUGACGCUGAUGAACGAAAGCGUGGGUAUCAAACAGGAUUAGAUACCCGAGUAGUC